Molecule: transfer RNA, 78 nt
Filed under: Siphoviridae sp. ctHdl3
Lineage: Duplodnaviria; Heunggongvirae; Uroviricota; Caudoviricetes
Description: tRNA-Arg
Rfam family: tRNA
About the family: Transfer RNA (tRNA) molecules are approximately 80 nucleotides in length. Their secondary structure includes four short double-helical elements and three loops (D, anti-codon, and T loops).
Source: RNAcentral
GGAGCGGUCGUUUAAUGGUAAAAGCACCAAUGGCUUCGGGUCCAUUGGAGAUGCAGGGUUCAAAUCCCACUCGCUUCA